CCCAGCCCUUACGGGCUGGGCUAACUUCUGGCGCGCCUACGGCGCU
Molecule: non-coding RNA, 46 nt
Organism: Acidobacteria bacterium 13_2_20CM_57_17
Lineage: Bacteria; Pseudomonadati; Acidobacteriota
Source: Rfam